Molecule: long non-coding RNA, 748 nt
Organism: Pyrus x bretschneideri (Chinese white pear)
Lineage: Eukaryota; Viridiplantae; Streptophyta; Magnoliopsida; Rosales; Rosaceae
Exons: 2
Source: RefSeq, a predicted model, not a curated record
GAAUUUUGUUGGCUGGUUAUAUAUAUAUAUACACACACAUAUACUGUGGGUGGUCGAUAUGCCCUAGGUGGGGCAUUAUUCACGAGGCCGAACAACUUUCAGGAGCUUUUGUCCUGGGUUUCUCAGUCCCUUUCUGCACCUUCAACAUUUGAUUCUACUGUAAAAUCCAAAUCACAUCUCUCUCUCUCCCUCAGUCUCUGUGACUCAUUAUUAUUUUUAUUUUAUUGGGUUACGAAUAUAUUAAACAAGAUUCUUUCAUCUCCAACGUCACGAUUCUUCCUUCUUUGUCAACCCAUCUUCUUCUUCUUCUUCUUCUUCUUCUUCUCAUGAUCAAUCCAUCACCAUGCCUGUAAUGCGAGUGAUGCUUGGAUCACUGGUGAGCCUUGUGACGGCAUUGAUAUCCCGGCCGGCAGCUACUACCACAACCUUGCUCUACCACAGUGAUCUCCUCCCUCGAAAUUUCAACUCACGGCAAAGGCGGUUAGAGCGAUUGGUUCAACGAGACUAUCUCGUUCAAGAAAAUUGCCUUUUCAGCUCUCUCAUCAACGUUUUGAGAUGUUUUUGGUAGCAUACAACUUGUAUAUAUAACACAACAUGCGUUUGGGUUAAUCACUGUCACGUGAUCGUUAGGGUUUUUAUUUGUAUAACAUGGUGUGGUGGCAAAUGACACCAUACUUGUGGAGUUGAGUUGGCAAAAAAUUUCCUUAUGUAAUAUGCCUUGAGCGAGUGCAGAUUUUGCUUGGUUGAA